This 257-nucleotide long non-coding RNA is filed under the name Hordeum vulgare. Its description in RNAcentral is "long non-coding RNA (HVUL_LNC021150)". The record is from RNAcentral. Lineage: Eukaryota; Viridiplantae; Streptophyta; Magnoliopsida; Poales; Poaceae.
CGGGAGGAAAGAAAGGGAGGUAGAUGAUAAUGCGAAAGGGCGCCGCGUCUGGCUUGAUAGUAAAGCCAAAGAAAGACGCCCCAAGACAAGAUACAAUCCCGGAUCCUGCUCGUAAAGACUCAGAUAGAAGUUUAGCCCUGCUAAAUGAGCUAGAGCCUGGGGGUCUUGAAUCUCCGGCGGGAGAGUGAUCAGAAAGGAGGAGCCGACGAAGCACGAACAAAAAAGAUUGAAAACGGCUAUUACUAUUAAUAUAAAAC